Cyprinodon tularosa is the source of this 1613-nucleotide long non-coding RNA. RefSeq lists it as uncharacterized. NCBI's taxonomy places the organism in Eukaryota, Metazoa, Chordata, Actinopteri, Cyprinodontiformes, Cyprinodontidae. The record is from RefSeq and is a predicted model, not a curated record. The transcript is spliced from 2 exons.
UGAUUUUAUAGUAACGAUUACCCUUCAUAUAUUCUUCAGUAAAAGCUUUGUUAAGUGAGAAAUAUUGUAAAAACUAAAAAAAAAGAAAAAGGGCUUAUUUUAUGGUAAACCAGCUCCCAUUUUUUUUAGACGUACUGUAAGAGAAAAAUAGCCAUUUAAAUUAACAAUCCACUUAAUUCUUUGGUUAUAUACAUCGGCUGCUAUAUUUGUACUAAUGUUAGAAUGCUAGCUUCACUUUAAAUCCUUUAAAUUCUUUUCUUUUUGACCUAACAGCUACUAUUAAUUGUAGUGAGGCUGAUAAACAUGGUACUGUAUGCGGGUCGGCUGUUAUGCUUGUAUUUUUCUUGUGUUGUUUCUCAAAGGAUGCAGCAAAGAGCAACAUUAAGGGAGCUUACAGUUUUUCUUAACUGUUAAGUAACACAAACCGGUGCUUUAGGCACAUGACCAUCACAUGUAACUCAUGCACCAACCCUUUAAAUCGGAUCUGCUGAAUUGCAAAAGCAAUUCCCAAUCUUCACGCUAGAUGUUUUUCUGUUUUUUUCAGAACACGACACACAAUUCUCAUGCUUUUAACCGAAUUUACAUGAAGAAAAUGUCUUGUUUUUACUAAAAACACACUAAUUUGAAAUUAUAUUGACAAUUUGUUUUACUAUAGAGGUGACUCAUCAAAAGGACAAACAGCUGCAACAGACUUUUACAGUCAGCAGUCAGAGCUGGAGCAAAAAAAAGGUGAAGCAAUCUCUUUAAGUGCAACCGAGGCCAAGAUUGAAAACAUAGAGCUUAUUACACAGGCUCAUUAUACAGACUUAGACAAACUUUAUUUCAUUUUGUACAGCACAUGACAUUUCCAUUUUCUUAAAGUGCAGCGGUGAUCAGUUGUUAACAUUGUGGGAGAAAAAACAUGGUGCAAAAAAACGUACUGAUAUGGUCGGUUUGAUGCAGAGUCUGUGACAUGAUUUAGAGUUUUUUCAACAGUUCAGCUGUCUGAUGGCGGUGUGAAAGAAGCUGAUUCAGAAUCGGCUGGACCUGCAUCGGAUGCUGCAAAGCCUCUUCCCAGAGGGCAGCAGGGAGUACAGUCCAUGGUGGGGAUGUGAGGGGUUGCUGAUCAUGUUAUGGACUUGGGAUACGCAGAGAUGUGAUGAAAUGUAUUUUAUGGACGGAAGAGGAGCCCCCAUGAUCCUCUCUGCUGUUCCCACUUAUCUUCUCACCUUCUUCCAAACUCUAGCACCAUGUACAACUUUGUGUUGUUUGAUUUUACAGGAGAAUUAAGUAGUUUUAAAGAUUGUGAAUAUGUUAUUAUAAUUGUGUGUAGAGUGUGAUUGUAGAAAAGGUAGAAACGACUGAGAAAAGUGCAAUCUCGCACAAGUACUGGUUGUGUUGUGCAUAUACCAGCAGGGAAGAUAUUUCUUCUUCCUUUAUUUGCUCUAAUCUCCCAAACAGAACAUGUGAUUAAAUAAACCAAAAACUUUUGGGACAUACUUUCAAACCAUCUUUUUGGGAAAUAAAACCUCUGUAAAUCACUAAGAGAAUAAUGGAAAAUGUGGUGUGAUGUUUUUAAAUGGGGUAACAUUUUACAAUAAAGUCAAAAAUAAAUUCAAUUAAUCGAUCAAUAA